CCCUCUUUAUAGUACGGUUAUCUAUCCUAAAUCCACUCACACCCGCUAGGUGUCUUGAGUGGUAAAACAAAAUGGCCCUAAUAAAAAUACCUUUGCCUUGAGCCCAUUUUAUUUUUCUCUUUCUUCUUUUCCAAGUUGGAGCACUUGAAUAUCAUCUUUUGGUCACCUCCAUCACCAUGACCAUCAUCUAGCUCCAAUACUUGGUGUGUACCAACCUAUCCUUAUAUUUCACUCAUGACAAAGGUUAGUACACAUAGGUUUCAUCAAUUAUCCAAAACCAAACUAGGACUUUCAAGAGGUGGGCGGGCGCCCUGACCAACUGGGCGGCCGCCCAGGGUCUGGCCCCGAUUCGCCUCCGCUUCGGUCUCGUGGCUUCUGGAGUCUUCUAGAUGUAAGAUAAUUGCACAGCACGUUAAUAUCUUUACGUAAUCCUGACAUGUGGGUCUUUCUUCCAUAUUUCCUGAUAACUCCCUGCAGAAAUAGAUAAACACCAAAACUCGUGGAAUUCUGUCAGAUAAAACCCUAAGUCUGGAUCUUGUUUUCAUUUGGAUCCUUUUCUUUAUUUAUUUGAUAAUUAAAUUUGAUACUUAAGGAUCAUCAACACUAAGCAAAUCAGGAUGAGAAGAAGGCGACACAACCGAAACCAGAGAAGGCAAAUCAACAAGGACGGAUGGGCAGACUACAAAGGAGAUGUAAUAAGGUCUGAAGACAUACAACAUGAAUAGAACUGUCCUGAGGAGACCGUAGCACCGAGUCAGGUGUGGAGAGAGAAGAUAAUUAUACAUGAAGAGGAGGCGCCGCCGGAACCACCGACUACACCAUCGAGCGAAUCUGAGGACGACUGAGGAAACGGAGAGUCCCAUUCGGAGGACUUAAAAAACAUCGAAUGCCUUGCCAAGAGGUAAACUUGGUAGUUAUCGUUUUCCUUUCAAUUAUUCAAUUAUAGUUUGCUUAGUUAAUCAGGUUCAUGCUAUCUUGAAAAGAAAAUAAAAAUAUUAAAAAAUAGUAAGCCCCAUGUGAGUAUGCUCAUGGCAUAAAACCCAUAAGUACAUUCACUGUGGUGGCAUAAAAAUAAAAUAAAUAUAUUCCGGUCCUAUAAAAAUAAAAAUAUAAAAAUAAAUUUAUGAUCCUACCAAAGAGAGUAAUAUUUAUUAGAGGAAGCUCAACAUGAUUACGGCUAAGAGAUUUUAUGCUAACAUUUAACCAGUUCCACAAAGCUUUGUUGUCUAUUUGAGCUCCACAGAAUUCAAGGAUCAAAGAAGACUAGCAGACGGAGGACAUCCUAAAUCGUUGUCAGGGUGCUGCCGACAUUCAAAUACACCUCUGUCACCUGCUAGCUACAUCAGAAGAAAUUACGUCAAAAUCCAGCUUGGGGGAGAGCACCCCCAUUUAUCCAGCUAAGUGUUUCUACUUGCGUUUAUACUUUACUCAAAUAAUAAAAAGAUGCAUAAUCAUAAAAACCCAAAUAAAGAUUUUGUGUUGUUUGCUUAGUUUGCUAAAUAAAUAAAUAAAUAAAGUUUGCUAUGAACCGUCAUGAUAAGCUCUCACAUGGAAAUGAUGAAUAGUUGCUCUACCAUGACUAGUUCUCAAAAUUGAGCUCUCUCUCAAGUUUUAGGCAUAAUUGUUAUAAUUUAAACCUGCUCUAAACCUGAACUUGUGGGAAGAGUACUUGAUCUAAAGUCUAAGUCAUUAACGGAUAUGAUAUGGGAAGGUUGAGCUGUUGUUUAUCUAUUCCUAGAGAUGCUAGAAUUCUGGAGAAUUAUCUUUGAAAAUCUUUAAAAUAACACAUGAUGAGUUCCUGUAUGAUGAGAGUUUAAAUUCCUACCACAGCCAUAUAUACAUGCUUGCUAGACUUUGAGCCACACAUUUACUUUUUACUGCUUAUGAGCAUUGAGUGUGGUCAAGCUGUGUAGACCCUUAGGUGCUUGUCAUGCGGUUAAAAUCAAGAUUCACUUGCACGUUCACUCACACAUGCUGCUUCUACUCCGGAUGUACGCAUCCACAUAUAUCCACUCACUUCCAUCUCCAGAGCCACCCAAAAGUAUUUUACUCCUAAUCCGGGAGAGAAUAGCCAAAAACAUUUCUAUUUUUCCCUGUGAAAUAAAUGCUCGAGUUAUCUUGGUUACUACCACUUGCUAUAUUAUUUAAGGAGAUGAGUGCUCUAAAAAAAAGGAUACGAGGAAAUAAAAAAGGACAAGUGCUCGGAACCUCAAAGAAAAGAAAAAGUGAGACGAGAGGUAAAAAUGGACAAGUGUCCGACAGUAGAAUUAGGGGUACAAGAUACCCAUCUGAGAAAAAGAAAAAGAAGAGCAUCUCAUUCUCCUCACAAAGUUUCAAAAAGCAAGAAAGGUAUGUAUCCCCUUGAAAGAGCAAGGUAGAAUUAGACUUCCACCAUUACCACCAUCAUCACCAUACACCAUUCAAUCGCCACACAUGCACAUCUUGAUUUGGCUUAAUGAUUUGUUUCUUUGGAUCCAUGGUUUGACUAUACAAUAAAUGUCUUGUAAGUAUGUAUAUUUUAUCUCCCACCUAUGAGCUCCAGAUAUUAAAGCCUUAUUAGAGUAGGGUGAGAGAGAAGGCAAUGUCACUAUGCCUUAUACCACAAAUACCACAUACUUUGAAAGAAGGCAUACACCAUUACUGCCUUGGAAAGGACCC
Molecule: long non-coding RNA, 2658 nt
Filed under: Sorghum bicolor (sorghum)
Lineage: Eukaryota; Viridiplantae; Streptophyta; Magnoliopsida; Poales; Poaceae
Description: long non-coding RNA (SBIC_LNC000334)
Source: RNAcentral